RNA transcript from Schistocerca americana (American grasshopper), 6030 nucleotides. RefSeq lists it as uncharacterized. The record is from RefSeq and is a predicted model, not a curated record. The transcript has 10 exons. NCBI's taxonomy places the organism in Eukaryota, Metazoa, Arthropoda, Insecta, Orthoptera, Acrididae.
UAUUGAUUGAGGCGUCGUGUCGAAUUGCCUGAUGCCGACACUCGUCCUCGUGGCGAACUAAAUAGUACGCUAACGUACACGGACACGUCUAAAAGAUUCCGUCUCUGCCUUCGUUUCACUAGUUUUGUCUGUGUUUUCUUUGAGGAGUCAUUUGAAACGCGGUUCGUUGAGUGCGAGAAACGAACACUUUCUUUCCCCCUUUUGCGAGUAAGACCUGCAGGAUUCGAUUGCCCUGACUACGAGAAAUGGUACAGACGACCAAACACAAACGGAGGACUUUAUGAUUCAGCUGAGGCUUCUGAGGAUGGAGUUCGUUAUCGCCAGCGACUGGAGUUGAAGGAUAUGAAUGAGGACCACAUCAUUUAAUUUACAGGUAACCACGCUUGUCGUGCUGGCAUUAAUACCAUGGCCUGGCCCUACUGUGUUUAAGAUAUCAUGUCCACGCGAUCACGCAUCUGUUGUGCGGAAGGUUGUUCAAAAGAAAUGGAUACCAGUGCUGGAGAAGUAUCAAGUCUCAAUUCCUCUCGAGUGUCCCUUUCAUCCUGUGAGAGACAUAUAUUGGCCUCAACAGUCUGCCAAACAGCAACAUCGGUCUUCUCAGUGGACAUGUGGAAUAUGUGGGAAAUCAUUUUAUGAAGAACGUUUUCUAGACAAGCAUUUUGACAAUAGGCACAAAAACCAAAUUAAUAUGGCUGAAGAUGCAGUAUGCCUAGCUGAUUAUUGUGACAUCAUGCGAUGUGAGGUACUAAUGACACAAGAAGUUGGAAGUGGUGAAUCAGGAGAAUCCAGUCAGGGAAACACUGACAUUGAAGUGUGGAGUGAGUCAACAGCUUAUCGCACUGCACUGUCACCUUCGGGACCUCGAGACCUUGCUCGUGUGCUGUUUAGGAGAGGACCAUAUACUGAACAUGACAGACAGCCACAGGAAGCACAAGGGUCCACACCAAAAACACAACCCAGUGAGAAUCACUGCCCUCGCACUUCGCAACCACCAACUUCAGAACAGCAUCAGCAGCCUCAAGCGACUUCUGACACUGACACAAAUACUUCUGCACCGGAUACCUGUGACAGCGGAAACCUUGUUGACUCAUCAGUGCCUCCAGGAGAUCGUAAGCAACAAAGACUGAGUGAGCUGCAGAGACUCAAAGCCAACUGCAAACCAGAAGAACUUCAAGGCCUUAAACUUCGGUGUGAGAUUCUUGUGAGAGAUUGCAUAGCAGGUUUAUUAGUAAACUUGUCCAUCCAAAAUUUUAAGGAAGUUGAAGAGGAGUUGAAUCGUGCUGUGUGUUGGUACCUCACUUGUGACCGCUACUGGGAAGAUUCUCCCAAUGAUUCUAGACAUUUUCCUUGGGGCCUUGUCUUUGUGUUGGUCAUGGUGCUUUCUCUUGGUAUCUGCCUCUGCUACUACAUAAUAUGGGUUCUGUUUGAUUCUGAUGACCAAAGUGUUGCCAGCACAAGUGCCACUGCAACGGCUACUUCGUCUCCAGUGCAUCAUGCAAAUUCAACUAAUAGGCCUUUAUACUCAGAGGAAUAUUACACAGUUCCAGAAAUAAAUGAUAUGGGACAAAAUGAACAUUAUAUUUAUGUAACAUAUCCACCAGAACUAAAAAGGAGAUUGUUAGAAAGGUGUUGAUUGUGGAAGAACCUUGACCAAGCACUUAACCCACCGUCUUUAUCAUUUGAUGGCUGUGUGGAGUUAAUAAGCUACUCUUCUCUAUGAAGUUCCUGUGGCAGCUGCUACAAUAGAACCACAAGACUGUGAGUGGCAAGUGGUCAAGAGUGGAUUCGAGUAAGUGGACUAGUUUGUUGGUCCUACUUUGGAUACAAAAUAACAAUGGUUAUGGUUUCAGUUUAGUAUACAUUCUCAAAGAGAGAACAAACAUUUUUUAAAUUUUUCUGUAGAGUCUUUUAUUGGUAAUUUGUUCUUCAUUUGACUUGUGCCAUAUAUGUUACAGAUUGUUUUAGCACUAAAUGAAGAGGGGCAUCCAUAAAUGUAUUACAGAUUAUUGUACUAUCACACUGCAGCUCAAUAAAUGAACAAAGAAGUUCAACAUGCUAAGUGUAAAAUUCAAUAAUUAAUGCUGUAUAGCUUUAGAGUGAAAAUUAAUCUGGAAUAUUGAGGGUUAUAAAACUGUUCACAUUUCCAUAGUCCUUUGCUAGAAAGAAGUAUGGCUCUAUCCGAGAAAGUAAAAUCAUUAUAAAAGCAGUCAUUCACAACAUAAUAUACCAGUUUUCUCUAAGUAUACAUGAUUUAAAGUAUGAACAUCAUUGUGUGGACACAAAUAGAGGACUGUGUUGUAUUUAUGCACAAAGGAUUUUUUUCUGAGACAUGUCUCUGCUAUUUAAGCCUUGUGGGGACCAGUACCAUUGAUUUAAUGGGCAUGCUGUUUGCAGUGUGAUACCAUUACUACAAAUCAGGAUUUUGUGGUAUCACAAUAAUGUUCAUUUUUACAUUUAUAGUUUAGUCUAAAGCACUUGCUCCUUAUAUAGUAACAGUCCCUCAUGACUACCCAAAAUUCAGGAUGAAUUUGUAGGAGCAAUGUCAAAGAUCUCUUAACAGAUACUUCUUGUUAAAGAAAAGAAUUUGUGGAGAAAUUCUCUUCUAAAUUAAAAUGACAAAUAUUUGAUUUCUCUCAAAUUAAAAAAUGGAUGUUAUAAAUAACACAUGACAAGAAUAAAGGUGGAGAAAGGAACAUCGACCAUCUAAAACAUGGACUUCGUCACUACUACAUUUCUACGUGCAAAGUCAUGAUAGAUACUGGCAAUCCAUUAAACAAUCAUAUAGCGCAGAAUGGCACAAUCAUAGUUUCAAUUUAUCAAUUCUAUGUAGUAGCUCUGUGCUACGAACACAUACAUAGGAAUGUAAUUUUGAACUUGUGUACAUGAAUAAUAUUAUGUGAGAAAUAGCCAUACUUACUCUCAGUGAUAAAUUAUAAAGAGAAAACAGGAGUACAAGAAAUUGUACAACAUUAUACUCUAGAAUCUAUGAGCAUUUUUUCUGGACUGAUGAAAAAAUAAUAACUUUCAUGUUUCAGAUUGCCAUAAAGUUCUGAUCCAUUGACCACUCAUGAAUCAAAACUACCCUAUUCAUUAGCUUUCCCUGGCUCUAUAUUAACUGGCAAAACAUAAAAUAUUAAGAUUUCAACCAACAAUCAAAACAAAUGUUUAAUUUACAUGUUUAAGUGAAAUCUCUAUCUGAAAAUCCUGCAUUGUAAUCAUUUUGUAACAGGGGAGAUUCACAGAAAAUGCAUAUAAUCAACAAGAGAUCCAAACAGUGAAAGGCUAUUAAAAUAAUAAUUUGAUGUGAUCUUGUGUAAGAGGCCUGGUCAAUACCCUAUUUUGCUAUGCAAAAAAAGCUACAAGCUGAUGUAAUCUCAGGCAAAAAGCCUAUAUCGGUAGCAUAAAUGUAAUGCAGCUGUAAAGACAUUAUUGGAAGUAAGUACUGUCUCUUUAGAAAAAUCUCUCAGACAAUCAUUUUGCAACCUUCCCUUCUAGAGCAAAUGUUUUGGGCUUAGCGGACAAUGAUUGUUUCUUAAUCUCGCUCCCUCUCCACAUAUUAUUUGCCUCAUUUUACAACUUACAUUUCAUAAACAGGGUGUUAUUUGUUGCAUGUACAUCCCUAAUAUUUAGAAAAGAGUUCAACAAGGAAUUUCACAAAUGAUAAUAUAUAUAGUAGAAAAUAUUCUAAUUCCCAUUAGUAUUUCUGACUUAUUCCUGUUGAAAUAUUAAAAGAACAACAUUUUUUAAAGAUAUGGAUUCACAUGAAAAAAGGUACAUCAUGUCAUGUCAUUGGACAAAUUCGUGGGCAUCCAAGUUUACUGGUAGCUAAAAAUUAAACAAUCACAAGUAUACGGAACAACACUCAUCCCCUUGCAUACCAUCAUACACUCAAACCCGUAUUUUGAUAGCUAAAAUCAUUUAUGAAUUAUUAGUAGUGUCCACAUGAUGCAGUACAUGCUAUGGAUUACAAACACUAACUUCAUAUCAUAUUCAGAAGGGUGAGAAGCAAAAGAUGCACAAAAACUUAUUGUUUUGGUUAAAUUUUGAGUUUUCAAAAUUGAAAAUCCAUCCAGUUGAAGUUAAAUGUGUUUCCUUUCCAUGCAUGGAGUUCUGGUUGUGAACACUUUGUAUUCUGUUUGUUAACAAUAAUAUAUUCUUGCAGGCAGUACCACAAACACUUUAAAUUCAUUUACUGGGAAGUAUUUUUUUUCCACCAGCGUAUAAUUAGCACUCCAUGUUUUCAACCUACAUACUGUGUGUGUAAAUACACUGACCUCCAUGAUUUUUCAUCUUUAUCUUCAUCUGUUCUCAUUUUCUCAGUUUUCAUUUCCUUGCAUUUCUCAUCAUCCAUCAAAACUCUUCUUUGACUGUUUAGAUUUUAAAUUUACAGUCUUUCCUCUUCAUAAGCUGUUACUCAUUUUGUUUCCUAAAUGCAUUAUUAAUUUAUUUGACAUUUGAAUCAUACCUGUCCAUACUGAUUUUCUAUGUAACUAGUUUGUAAUGAUUGUUCUUCUGUUUAUCAUUUACUCUAACAUUUUCUGCAAUUCUUCAUUCCUGUAACACAGAAUGUUUGCUCUGGAGCAUUGAAAAUCUGUAUUAGUUUGAAGGACUUACUCUUCACUUUGUGUAAACAUGGUGUAUUUUAAUCAGUUGUUAUUAAUGCCUCAGUUUUGUAUUUGUAUUUCCUGUCAACUUACACAGUUGUAAUAAAAUCAUGUGUUCACAGAUCAAUUAGACACAAUGCUGAACAGCUCACAAACAAAUUUUACAUGUUUUACUGUUGUCUAGGAGAGAAGAAUUAUUACAUUUAUAUUUCUGGUUUCAGUAAUGUCUGUGUGUUCUGUAACUGCACAUUACUUAAGCUGUUACAUUCUGAUGCAAAAGAGAGAAUUUCACGAAAAAAUUUAGUUUAGAAUAUGUUAUAAUCCAAAUUGGCGUUAUGCUGCAUUAUGCUAACAUUUGAGAGAUAUUUAAAAUAAUUACAGAAUUAUAAGAAACUCUCUAUUUCUUUCUUUAAGAAAUUGAAAGCUGAGCAAAUUUAUAGACUGUUUCAAUCUUUGCUGUAGAAAUGAGUCAAUAUAAUUUAUGAGUGUUCAGUUAACAAUUCUGCAUAUGAAGAAGUGCUGUAGGACUUAUCAUUCACAUAAUUCUAGUACUGCCAUUAUUAAACAUAGAACACUGACUAAAAAAGACUUAAAAUUACAAACUUUCUGCUGAAUUCCUAAGCAUAAUUAUAAAAAAAGAUGAAAACAGUAGGCACAAAUACUAGUGAACUAGUGUCAGACUGAUGAUUCCCAAAUACACAGGAAUUUGUUAUCUUUCCCAAAAAUGACUGGAUCUAGUUAGUGCAAAAUUAUGGAAUACAAUUGUUGAUAUAGAGGCAAUUUAUAGACAAGAUAACAGUGGGUGAUAAACAAUGUAGUUGCUCUUCUGUUCGAACUGUGCUACAUUGUAAAUUACAACCCUGACAUAUCGAGAAAAUUUAAAAUCCUGUACUCAUGCUUGAAUAUGAGUAUAGGUGUACUGUUAAAACAAAUGAAUUUGUAUUGGAGUCAAGUCUUCCUCUGCAUUACUUGAGCAGCAGGCAUAGACAGCUUAAGGAAUAUUUUAUUUCAACAUACACGAAUGGUUUCUUCUGCAAAUGAUUUUGCAUCGAACUGAGCUUCCUUUUUAAUUACUAAUUUGUUCUGCUAUGUUAAAUACUAAUUAGAUUUACAAGGCAAUAUCCUCUUCUUUGAACAUUUUGUUUUUUUAAUUUAAUCAUUAAUUUUCACACCUGUCACAUGCUUUCUACAGUGAAAGGAGCAGUUUCACUUACACCAAUACUAAUAAUUCAGAUUGUGUGUGUAUUUUGCACAUAUAUAUGUAAGCACACUUUUAUCUGACUAACACUCUGGGAAAACUGUCACUUGUUUUGUGCAGUUAUAUUGAAUUACAGUUGUGAUGAAGAAAACUGAUAAAAAUAUGAUCAUUUUUUGUGUACAAUGCAAUAAAAUUGUUGAUACAUUUGCUAGAUAAGUUUGAAUAACA